This 91-nucleotide microRNA precursor is filed under the name Canis lupus familiaris (dog). Its description in RNAcentral is "mir-8799 microRNA precursor family". It matches the Rfam family "mir-8799 microRNA precursor family". The record is from Rfam by way of RNAcentral. RNAcentral also lists the same sequence under 1 other name. Lineage: Eukaryota; Metazoa; Chordata; Mammalia; Carnivora; Canidae.
GGGGGGAGGCCGUAUCCUGGGCUGUGUCCCCGGCACCCUGGGCUCCCGGGCCUGCGCUGCUGGAAUCGUGCUCCUGGCCACACAGCCCCCU